This 317-nucleotide long non-coding RNA is filed under the name Urocitellus parryii (Arctic ground squirrel). Its description in RNAcentral is "lncRNA (ENSUPAG00010005798.1)". Lineage: Eukaryota; Metazoa; Chordata; Mammalia; Rodentia; Sciuridae. The record is from RNAcentral.
CCGGGCAGCUGGACGCUCCUGGACAUCUCCAGGGACCUAACGCUAACCUGGACUUAGUUUGCUGGCAACAGUGGAAGGAGGUCUGAGGAUCUUCACAGGGACGGGGUGCCCUUUGGAAGAAGGGGUACUUUUGGCUCUGUCUGGAUGGAGCAGCAACAGGAAGAGAAGUGAUCAGCCCCCAGAUUGAACAAAGGAACAGUCUCGAGUUUUCAGGUGACAUCAGAGAACCAAGCUUUCAGAGCUAGAGAUCAUCCCGCUGUUUUAGGGGACCCGACCGGUGGCACCUCCUGUUAAAUCAGGGUCUGACUCCAGGAGCC